Molecule: ribosomal RNA, 773 nt
Filed under: uncultured Neocallimastigales
Lineage: Eukaryota; Fungi; Neocallimastigomycota; Neocallimastigomycetes; Neocallimastigales
Description: partial large subunit ribosomal RNA
Rfam family: Eukaryotic large subunit ribosomal RNA
Source: RNAcentral
CGCAUCUGUGCAUGCAGCAUAUCAAUAAGCGGAGGAAAAGAAACUAACAAGGAUUCCCUUAGUAACGGCGAGUGAAGCGGGAAGAGCUCAAAUUUGAAAUCUUCAAGGUUUUACCUUGACGAAUUGUAGUUUAAAGAAGUGUUUUCUGUUGAAGUUUGGUAAAAGUUCUUUGGAGUAGGACAUCAUAGAGGGUGAGAAUCCCGUAUUUGACCAUUAUUUUCAGCUGUGUGAUACACUUUCAAAGAGUCGGAUUGUUUGGGAAUGCAGUCCAAAAUGGGUGGUAAAUUUCAUCUAAGGCUAAAUAUUGGCGAGAGACCGAUAGCGAACAAGUACCGUGAGGGAAAGAUGAAAAGAACUUUGAAAAGAGAGUUAAACAGUACGUGAAAUUGUCAAAAGGGAAGCGUUUGACACCAGUGUUGUUUUCUCGAAAAUCAAUUAAAAAGAGUUAGAUUUUGUUGUGUAUUGACCUUAACAGCUUGCAUUUCAAUUUUCUUGCUUUUUUUAAUGCACCUUUCGUUUAACAAGUCAACAUCAGUUUCUUUUGUUGUAAAAAGGUCAUUGGAAGGUGGCUUUCUUUUCGGAGAAAGUGUUUAUAGCCUUUGACUCCUGCAAUCGGAGAGACUGAGGUCUGCAGCGUAGAUCCUUCGGGGUUAGAUACAUUUGUGCUAAGUUAUAGCUUUUUAUAGACAACUUGUUGAUUAUGAUUAGUCUUGUAGCUUACUCGCUUAUGCUAUUUUACCUACGCUUAGGAUGUUGACACACGCGCGUGCUCG